GAUGAACGCUGGCGGCGUGCCUAAUACAUGCAAGUCGAGCGAACAGACGAGGAGCUUGCUCCUCUGACGUUAGCGGCGGACGGGUGAGUAACACGUGGAUAACCUACCUAUAAGACUGGGAUAACUUCGGGAAACCGGAGCUAAUACCGGAUAAUAUAUUGAACCGCAUGGUUCAAUAGUGAAAGACGGUUUUGCUGUCACUUAUAGAUGGAUCCGCGCCGCAUUAGCGAGUUGGUAAGGUAACGGCUUACCAAGGCAACGAUGCGUAGCCGACCUGAGAGAGUGGUCGGCCACACUGGAACUGAGACACGGUCCAGGCUCCUACGGGAUGCAGCAGUAGGGAAUCUUCCGCAAUGGGCGAAAGCCUGACGGAGCAACGCCGCGUGGGUGAUGAAGGUCUUCGGAUCGUAAAACUCUGUUAUUAGGGAAGAACAAAUGUGUAAGUAACUAUGCACGUCUUGACGGUACCUAAUCAGAAAGCCACGGCUAGCUACGUG
RNAcentral lists this ribosomal RNA (497 nucleotides) under uncultured bacterium. RNAcentral's name for it is "partial 16S ribosomal RNA". It matches the Rfam family "Bacterial small subunit ribosomal RNA", at positions 28 to 507 of the family's 1533-position model. The record is from RNAcentral.